Molecule: ribosomal RNA, 401 nt
Filed under: uncultured bacterium
Lineage: Bacteria
Description: bacterial SSU rRNA
Rfam family: Bacterial small subunit ribosomal RNA
Source: RNAcentral
GGGGAAUCUUGCACAAUGGGGGAAACCCUGAUGCAGCGACGCCGCGUGAACGAUGAAGCCCUUCGGGGUGUAAAGUUCUUUCGACAGGAACGAUAAUGACGGUACCUGGAGAAGAAGCUGCGGCUAACUACGUGCCAGCAGCCGCGGUAAUACGUAGGCAGCGAGCGUUGUUCGGAGUUACUGGGCGUAAAGAGUGCGUAGGCGGAGAGCCAAGUUUGGUGUGAAAUCUCCCGGCUUAACCGGGAGGGUGCGCCGAAAACUGGUUGGCUGGAGUAUGGGAGAGGAAAGCGGAAUUCCUGGUGUAGCGGUGAAAUGCGUAGAUAUCAGGAGGAACACCUGCGGUGUAGACAGCUUUCUGGACCAAAACUGACGCUGAGGCACGAAAGCGUGGGUAGCAAACA